AGAUCCCCAAGGUGAACCAAUUUUGGGUGAACCAUGUUUGCCUGGACAGUGUGGUGGUUUUUCAUGUAUCUCCAUGACUUGUAUUGAAUUUUUCAGGGUCAUACCUCAUGCUGGAGGAACUAGGAGAUUUCCUGAUCUCUUCUGUAUGAAUUAAUGAUUUGUUAAAGGACUUCACUUCACUUUGAAAUGCCACCAGAAAUGACAUGAUGCAAAAUCCACCCAAGUUCCACUUUCAUCCUAAAUGGCUGGUUGCCACUGGUAUUGCCUUUAGAAACAAACGGAGAUCUAUGUGUCCUCUCCAAACG
Cavia porcellus (domestic guinea pig) is the source of this 305-nucleotide long non-coding RNA. RefSeq lists it as uncharacterized. NCBI's taxonomy places the organism in Eukaryota, Metazoa, Chordata, Mammalia, Rodentia, Caviidae. The record is from RefSeq and is a predicted model, not a curated record. The transcript has 3 exons.